Molecule: long non-coding RNA, 480 nt
Filed under: Nicotiana benthamiana
Lineage: Eukaryota; Viridiplantae; Streptophyta; Magnoliopsida; Solanales; Solanaceae
Description: long non-coding RNA (NBEN_LNC040254)
Source: RNAcentral
AUAGGAAACCCCAAAAAAAAAAAAAACAUAGCUAGAACAAGAAAAAACCAAAACCCAAAAAAAAAAAGGCCUCAUAAAUUUAUACCGUAUAAAUUAAACCACCUAUUUCAAAUUUCAAGAGUUAGUUCUCUCUCAUAUAUUUGUUUCAUUGAACAAAAUAAAGGAAAAAUGAAGCUCUCUUCUCUCUUCAAGACCUCAUCAGAAAGUUGUUCAUCUUAUUCUCCAUGGCCAUGGCCACUGCCAGCUUGUGGCAAACCUAAAACCCUAUCUUUUAGAGCAGAAGAAAACAUUUUCAAGACCCUAAACUCUACUUAUCAGCUUGACCACUGCCAGCGUGUGGCAAACCUAAAACCCUAUCUUUUAGAGCAGAAGAAAACAUUUUCAAGACCCUAAACUCUACUUAUCAGCUUGAUGACAUGACUAGUUAUAAUCUUGAUCAUGAGUUCUUCAGUGAAUCUGAAAGAAGCUUUUCUAAUACUA